Molecule: long non-coding RNA, 976 nt
Filed under: Chrysolophus pictus (golden pheasant)
Lineage: Eukaryota; Metazoa; Chordata; Aves; Galliformes; Phasianidae
Description: lncRNA (ENSCPIG00010000108.1)
Source: RNAcentral
CACCAUACUGGAACAGAAGAAGAGCAUACAGAAAAUAAUCAUCCUCUCCAUACUGAUGAGUUUUGUUGUGUUAGGAGCAAAGUUGUGCUAUCCAAGAUGAACACUUCAGUUUGAGCUGUGUUCAGGUGAGUUUGUGCGUAGGGGGGCAGGGAUUGAUGGAGUGAAUUAAAAUAUGCCCCAUCUGCACAUUGGACAGGAAAAAAAGAGAAAAGGGUGAAUUCCCAUUUUCACUUUGAGUCAAAAAAUGAACGUAGUAAAAAGUAGAUGCUUAGAAACCACACGCCCAGCUCCAAAGGAUAUGUAGCUUGAUCCAGCUGAUGUCUGUGAACUGACACCUUUACAUUCAUGCAUGGUUUCUGCAACAGCUCCCAAGCUCCAUUUUCAUUUCUGUCACUCACUUGCACUGAGCAUACAGAACAGCCUUCUGUGAGCACUAGGGACUUCCGUGCUGCCACCUCAAGGAAUCUUUUCAACGCCAUGCUCCUAAUACUUCAUCACAAGGAGUGGAACCUUCUGUGUGAAAGAAUACCUGUGCAACAGCACCAGAGAGCACUUGAGCAGCAGGAACAUGCUGAGUCAAAUAAUGAUACUCACUCUCACACUAUCGCCUGCCUGGCCUUGGAGGGAUGGCUGCAGAGUGGAAAUCUGAAAAACCUCCCAUCCCUGGCCCAUUAAGCUAAGUCCUCCUCUUUCCUUUUUGCGACAUUGCCACUCAACACCCAAGUACUGAAUGACUUCGACCCUGAAAGCCUGGUUUCCCCACCCACAUUUUCCUUUACAGUGUAGCUGAAUGGAGGCUUUUCCCAUAGCUUAGUCAUUGCUAUGGCUCAGCCAAAAAAAAAAAAAAAGAAGCCUGUAAUGCACGGAGCUGCUUUCAAAGAAUUUCUGAAACUUAUGUAUGUGACAUUCCACAUACAUGCCAUUCAUGGGGAGAGUGUAGGAAAGCAAACUGGAAAAUGGGAGCCUAGAAAGAGGA